AGUAGUAAUAUCUCACAAAAGCAAUCUGCUUCUUGUUCUUCACAUCGAGCUCUUACCCCUGAGAGGCCUUCAAGGUCAAAUUGUUUUCGAGCUCUUCCUGUAACAGCCAACUUUUAUCUGUUUUUGAGCAAUACAUCUGCAGUCUGGAGGGAUCACUUUAUUUUCGAAGAGGACGAGGAAGCGAUAAUCGUAGAACCAUCCAAGCGCGGAAAGUAUUGUGUUGUUUUCGACCCGUUGGACACUUGGAUGGAUCUUCCAACAUCGACUGUUGUGUUUCCAUAGGAACUGGAGAAGAACAGAAGAAACUGGAUGUUUUGUCGAAUGAAGUUUUGUGAAGGCUUUGGUCAGCACUGGCAGAACAGUGAGUGUUCAUUAAUAAUUCUUUAACUUCAUAUUUUAAGUGUAAAUGCUUUUAUAUUUGGCUUGCAUACUUUUGUGCAGAGGUAUGCACUCAUUUUCACUUGAUUAAUGGAAAUAACAAUUUAUUUAGGAAUAUGUUCUGUUAUAUGUUCUUAUGGUCCUAAGAAUAAGGAGCCUUUAGCCAUGAUUUUCUGGCCUCAUUAUAAUUACUGACUUAAUUAUUAAAAUCCUGAAAAUGGUAUGAUGCUUUCUUUUGAGGUAUUAUUUUUAGAAUUACCGCAUCCAUUAUUAUGGUUGAUGGAUUAUUGAUUCUAUUAAUUUUAUCUAAUCUGUUUUUGUUGAAGGAUACCUUUCAAAAUUUGCUGCUAUUGAGAAAAGUUAGACCAUCUUAUCAGAGGGUGAAGUGGCAUCUCUUCUUUUAGCUUUUGCUUAGGGUUCAACUCGAGCUUGAGCUCGAACUUAAAUGAGCCGGCUCAGCUAGCAGUGUAGAGUUGAAGAAGAGAAUAAUGGUGACAACAUGAAAAGGCCAUUCAUUCUUCAUCGCUGAAAAGGUUUACUUUGACCGCAUCAUCAUCCAGCAUAAUCUCUACUACAUAUCUACUACAGCAAGGCUGCUCUCUGCCUUGAAUAAAGAAGCUGCUGAACGACGUGAUCUUCCUAAUAUGUUUGUUGUUUAACAAGCAGUCUUGUAUCAGAGAAGCGUUCAGUCUUGUAUCAGAGAAGCGCUCAAAUUGGUAUUUUAGUUGUGUUAGAAAAGUUUGCAUUAGAAUAAAUUAUGUGAAACCCACCACACGUGUACUUAAAAACAAUAGUUCCUGUGGCAACGCGCGGGCAUUCCUACUUUCUCAAAAAACAAUUAAGAUCAUAACACCUGGACGAGUUCUUCAUUAAAAAAAAGACAUCUACAUUAAGAUCAUGUUGUAUAACAGAUUUAUAAAUCGGCAUAACUUUGCAGGGUCUAAAUGUGUGAAGAAUUCGCCAAAGCAAGUGAUUCAAUCUAGCGAUUCGUCUGAUGAAUGGAUGAAAAAGGGGCAGAAACUGGUGGCUUUUAUUUCAUUUUAUGUCUGUAUAUUCUCUCGGCCCCUCUUCUCCCCUGCACUUUGUUCUUGUUUGUGAGGUCAACCGACUCAAGCUCGAGUAGCUAUCACACGAUGUAUAGAUAGGUGAACCACGACCGAGACAUGAUUGUGGAUUAACCACAUAUUCGAUGUAUACAAAUCAACAUGCAUGUGAUAUAUUUCAGUACAUAAAAAUUAAUCAUACAUUAAUACUUAAUAUUUCAAUUAAAUAUUCACACAGUUUCGA
Molecule: long non-coding RNA, 1665 nt
Organism: Helianthus annuus (common sunflower)
Lineage: Eukaryota; Viridiplantae; Streptophyta; Magnoliopsida; Asterales; Asteraceae
Exons: 6
Source: RefSeq, a predicted model, not a curated record